Molecule: ribosomal RNA, 247 nt
Filed under: uncultured bacterium
Lineage: Bacteria
Description: partial 16S ribosomal RNA
Rfam family: Bacterial small subunit ribosomal RNA
Source: RNAcentral
AUACGUAGGUAGCGAGCGUUAUCCGGAAUUAUUGGGCGUAAAGGAUGCGUAGGUGGAUAUUUAAGUGGGAUGUGAAAUCCCCGGGCUCAACCCGGGAACUGCAUUCCAUACUGGAUAUCUAGAGUGCAGGAGAGGAAAGCGGAAUUCCUAGUGUAGCAGUGAAAUGCGUAGAGAUGUGGAGGAACACCGAUGGCGAAGGCAGCCCCCUGGGAUAACACUGACGCUCAUGUACGAAAGCGUGGGUAGC